RNAcentral lists this ribosomal RNA (888 nucleotides) under Triticum aestivum (bread wheat). RNAcentral describes it as "partial small subunit ribosomal RNA". Lineage: Eukaryota; Viridiplantae; Streptophyta; Magnoliopsida; Poales; Poaceae. The record is from RNAcentral.
AUGAAGUUCGAUCCAGCACGGAUUAUCAAAAAAAUUGAGGGGCUUGAUGAGCUGACAAAACCCUUCACACAUGAAGAGAUCGUCAAAGUUGUCCGGGAGAUGCCUUCUGAUAAAGCACCCAGCCCGGAUGGCUUUAACGGAACUCCAGAUCCACCUCACGCGCUCCCUCUCCCACAUCGCCGCCGCCACCCCGCCGAUUCAGAUCCGACACCGCUGCCUGCGCCCGCGCACCACCACCCGCUCCUCCUUGCCUCCCAGAGGACGUCCACCGCUCUUCCUCCGCCCGUCUCGGAGGCCUCGGUCGGCACCCUCCGCCGCAUGGCCGCCGCGCUCGUCCCGCCCUCGGCGCCGCACCUCCACCGCCAUCUCUGCUGGCUCCUCGCCGACGCCUCCGCCCCUUCCUCGUCCAGCGCGCCGCUCGGGAACAAGCACUGGAAGGACCUGGUGGUCACCGUCCGGGACGGCGUGCUCAUCCCACGGCCCGAGACGGAGGCCGUCGUGGAGAUGGUCGCCACCACCGACUGCGAGCGGGGGUCCUGGUCUUCUCCCUCGUCAUCCUCGGUGGUGGCAUCGUGGCUUGGCGCCAUCGUCGUGCCCUGCGUCGACGUCUCGAUCAGCUUCACGGAUCACCGUCUUCACGAGGUUGGUCGAAGAGGGAUGGAGUUCAUGACGUUCCUGCUGUCCCUGUCCGUGUUCCUCUUCGGCACCUCCCGGUUCAUCUAUGCCCUGCUCGGCCUCGACCCCUUCAUCUUCGACCUCAUCCUGGUGAGAUUUCCAUCCAACCCUCCCCGUCCCCAUGGUGCUCUUUCUAGAUCAUCAUAUAUUGAAAUCUGGGACUUGUUUGAGAGUUCAGACCCCCUAUUUUGGGGCACCAACAAGGAAAUUUAA